RNAcentral lists this ribosomal RNA (247 nucleotides) under uncultured bacterium. RNAcentral's name for it is "partial 16S ribosomal RNA". It matches the Rfam family "Bacterial small subunit ribosomal RNA", at positions 86 to 334 of the family's 1533-position model. The record is from RNAcentral.
CGAUGGCGACCGGCGCACGGGUGAGUAACACGUAUCCAACCUGCCGAUGACUCGGGGAUAGCCUUUCGAAAGAAAGAUUAAUACCCGAUGGCAUAGUUCUUCCGCAUGGUAGAACUAUUAAAGAAUUUCGGUCAUCGAUGGGGGUGCGUUCCAUUAGGUUGUUGGCGGGGUAACGGCCCACCAAGCCUUCGAUGGAUAGGGGUUCUGAGAGGAAGGUCCCCCACAUUGGAACUGAGACACGGUCCAA